This 656-nucleotide ribosomal RNA is filed under the name uncultured Lachnospiraceae bacterium. RNAcentral describes it as "bacterial SSU rRNA". It matches the Rfam family "Bacterial small subunit ribosomal RNA", at positions 66 to 722 of the family's 1533-position model. Lineage: Bacteria; Bacillati; Bacillota; Clostridia; Lachnospirales; Lachnospiraceae. The record is from RNAcentral.
ACGAAGCUUGAUUACGGAUUCUUCGGAUGGAGUAUGAUAUGACUGAGUGGCGGACGGGUGAGUAACGCGUGAGUAACCUGCCCUUCAGAGGGGGAUAGCGUUUGGAAACGAACGGUAAUACCGCAUAAUGUAUUUUGACCGCAUGAUCGAAAUACCAAAGAUUUAUCGCUGAAGGAUGGACUCGCGUCUGAUUAGGUAGUUGGUGGGGUAACGGCCUACCAAGCCGACGAUCAGUAGCCGGACUGAGAGGUUGAUCGGCCACAUUGGGACUGAGACACGGCCCAGACUCCUACGGGAGGCAGCAGUGGGGAAUAUUGCACAAUGGGCGCAAGCCUGAUGCAGCAACGCCGCGUGAAGGAAGACGGUUUUCGGAUUGUAAACUUCUGUUCUUAGUGAAGAAUAAUGACGGUAGCUAAGGAGCAAGCCACGGCUAACUACGUGCCAGCAGCCGCGGUAAUACGUAGGUGGCAAGCGUUGUCCGGAAUUACUGGGUGUAAAGGGAGCGCAGGCGGGUGAUCAAGUCAGCUGUGAAAACUACGGGCUUAACCCGUAGACUGCAGUUGAAACUGUUCAUCUUGAGUGAAGUAGAGGUUGGCGGAAUUCCGAGUGUAGCGGUGAAAUGCGUAGAUAUUCGGAGGAACACCGGUGGCGAAGGC